Molecule: ribosomal RNA, 618 nt
Rfam family: Eukaryotic large subunit ribosomal RNA
UAAGCGGAGGAAAAGAAACUAACAAGGAUUCCCCUAGUAACUGCGAGUGAAGCGGGAAGAGCUCAAAUUUAAAAUCUGGCAGUGUAACAGCUGUCCGAGUUGUAAUUUCAAGAAGUGUUUUCUGUGCCAGACCGUGUACAAGUCUCCUGGAAUGGGGCGUCAUAGAGGGUGAGAAUCCCGUCUUUGACACGGAUUUCAAAUGGUGCUCUGUGAUACACUCUCUAAGAGUCGAGUUGUUUGGGAAUGCAGCUCAAAAUGGGUGGUGAACUCCAUCUAAAGCUAAAUAUUGGCAAGAGACCGAUAGCGAACAAGUACCGUGAGGGAAAGAUGAAAAGCACUUUGGAAAGAGAGUGAAACAGUACGUGAAAUUGCUGAAAGGGAAACGCUUGAAGUCAGUCUCAUUGGCUAGAAUUCAACCCUUGACUUUAUUGUUUGUGGGUGUAUUUUCUUAGUUCAGUGGGCCAGCAUCACUUUUGGCCGCUGGAAAAGGGCGGGAGAAAUGUGGCACUCUUUCACGAGGGUGUGUUAUAGUCUCCUGUCAUAUACAGUGGGUUUCAGGAGUGAGGAAUGCCUUUAUUGCAGGAUGCUGGCGUAAUGGCUUUAAUCGACCCGUCUUGA